GCCCUUCUGACCAUUGGAUUGGCCUAAGAAGAGAAUCAUCCCAUCGCAUUUGGAAAUGGACAGACAACAUGGAAUAUAAUAACAUUUUUCACACAUUUAUAAAACAAUUUGGGAGGAGACUGGAAAUCAUCUUGACUGAAGACCACCAAUGGCAGCAGUUCAUUUGGGCUUGCUAUCAGAGGAGGUGGAGAAUGUGCCUUCCUGAAUGACAAUGGAGUCAACAGUGGCAGAAUCUACAUGAACAGAAAAUGGAUUUGUAGCAAGCCAAACAAUUAUGUCUACAGUUGCCAGUUAUGUCCCCACUGGGAUACUACCUAGUAGAGCUGUGAGAAGAGGGCCACCAUCCUCCAGACUCCAGAAUGGUGGAAUCAUCAGCAGCUUCCACCAUGCCCCUGGAAAAACUGCAAGUAACAGACCUGCACAUGUAUCCCCUACAUCUAAAAUAAAAGUUGGAAAAAAUGGAACUUUAAUGUUAAGAUGCACUGAUACAAAACUUAAAUUUUGGUCUACUACAUUAAAACAAUAUGAGUCUCUUAAAAUAUUGAUUUGUUCUUAG
This 556-nucleotide long non-coding RNA is filed under the name Pan troglodytes (chimpanzee). RNAcentral's name for it is "long non-coding RNA NONPTRT003355". Lineage: Eukaryota; Metazoa; Chordata; Mammalia; Primates; Hominidae. The record is from RNAcentral.